CUUGCACGAUACGGAGUACGUGUUCCAGCCGUCCACCACCCGAAACCGACUCCAUCUUCGAGAAGAAUCGGGCUGCCUCCUGUCUCUAUAUAUGCGUCCACCCUCCCCAGGCCAGCCCCAUAGCCUCUCUCCUCUUUUUCGUCCGCCCGUCGCAGGCUUCUCUUCGUCCGCCUGUGGGAAUCGCCAGGUUCGACGAUUUGCCUCUUCUCUUCACCCUGAUGGGCCUACGAGGCGUUUGAAGACCUAACUGAUUGCUUCGUCAGAUGCGCCGUUCAUGCUCCGGGCGGUCGAAGAUCCUUAUGGAUUGCUCCAUACGAUAACGUCGUUUAUUAUGCUGCACUAUUUCACCGGUUCGGCCAUAAAGGGGCCCGCUUGCCGGUGGCCUGCUGGUGGCUCAUGAUCUUCGGCAGCCUUGGACAUCGGUUUAUGAUGCCCACCACUGCCUUCACGGGCAGGCUUCUAGCUGCAUCGGAAGACUGCUUUUCUGAAGGCUAAGUUCAUCUCCACACGAAGUGGUGGGGAACUGGUUGUCCGGUUGGCUCUUCCUGUUUGGUGGGGGUUCCUUGUUCCUGUUUGCCGCGAUGCCUAUCUCCAGAUGCCAAGUGAAAGGUAUUGUUUUGGUAAGCUGAUGCGCAUGUAUGUGUGCACAUGUGUAUUGUAUCAUUUCCUGUACCAAGACCAGUAGGGUUGGACGGCCUUUGCCUCGUUGGGUGCGCUCGCUUGGCAGGCCACAAGGCAAUAAAAGUAUAUUUUGUUGUGCUCGCGGGGUGGAGAUCGCACGGGGAACUAUCUAUUUGUUCUAUUUUGCCCCGGGUUCUCCACACUGCUAUGGUGUCCUGUUCUGUCCGCUUGAUUCCGUUACACGUCUGCAUGAUUCCUAUCGGGGAAAGCACACUACAAGAACUAGCUUGCUCAGAUUUGGUCAACCAAAUGACAAACCAAAGGUACAUCUAACUGCUGCUCUUAAUUUAUUUAUUUUCCAUAACUCGAGGAUCAACUUGACAUUGACUUCCAAGUUCCAUGCAUCCUUGAGAUCUUAUUGCCAUAUCCACAGCUGAAAUGUCAGCAAUUCACCAUUACUGAACACCCUGCUUAUCCCAAUGCCAAUUUAAUCUGGCAGUAUUGAUUUGUGAAGCUUCCGUCAAUGAGUGGCAUAUAAGUUACUGUUAAAAGUUCUGCCAACAGAUAACUAAAAGCUUCCCAACACAUGAAUUUAUAUGCAUAUCCUGGAGGAUUCUUUUAUCUGCUAUGUUCCUUCCGUUAUUUUGUGCUUAGGUUGUCUUUGACUAUAAAGAGUGGUGUUGCUGGCUGAUGUUCUAUUCUGCGGGUUCUCUUUUGUAUAUGACUUCUUCAACUGAUUGUGUAUGUCAGAUUCCUACUGUGGUUCUCAUGGUCCGAAACAAAUAUGUUGUUAGAUGGUACAUAUGCUUCGGAAAUCAUGAGUAUCAAUUCUUCUCCUUUUGUUAGAUCUAAUAAUUGAAUGCCUCGUGAGUUUGUAGUUUGCAACAUUACUAGAUUUGCUACUGGAUCUUCUUCCAUCAAGACAGGUUUGACGAUUGGCCUCCUGUCUGGGGUGUUCCCAAGACCUAAUCGAUUGGUUCAUCAGAUUCCCUGUUUAUGCUCGAGCCGUUUGAAGAUCAUCAUGGAUUGCUUCAUCGCCGUUUAUGUUGUGCCAUCGCCAGUUCACCUUUGGCAGCCUGGUUUGUAAUGGCUGUUGAUCUGGACAAUCAUUUACUUGAAGUUGAUGAAUGCUCUCUGCGAACAGAAGUUUAUGUUAACAUGGAGCGGUGGGAGCUUAAGUCAUCUGGUUGUCUCUUUCUGUUUGGUGAUGUUCCUUAGUUCUGUUUGCUGCUCAAGACGAUGCUUGCCUAUCUCCAAAUGCCACAGGAAGGUAAUUGUUUUGGUAAGCUGAUGCACAUGCUUGUGUGCACAUGUGUAUUGUAUAAUUUCCUGUACCUAGAUCAGUAGGCUAGGAAGGCCUUUGCCAUGUUGGGUGCGCUCGCUUGGCAGGCCACAAGGCAAUAAAAGUACAUUUUGUUGUUCGCGGGGUGGAGAUCGCACGGGGAACUAUCUAUUUGUUCUACUUUGCCCGGGUUCUCCACCCUGCCUUUGUGUGUUUGUCUCGUGCUUCUCCUUGUUCCACCUGUGUGAUUCCUGCUACACGAUUCCAUGGUUUGAAUAACUGCGCGGCAAAUAUUUGUUCAGCUGAGGCACAUCAAUAAUGACAAACCAAAGGUACAUCUAACUUGAUCUUAUUUAUUUAUUUUCUGUAACUUGAGGAUUUAUUUGAACUUCAAUUCCGUGCAUGGUUCUGAUCUCAUUUGAGUAACUUGUCAAAUCCAAGCUGGAAUGUCACCAUUACUGAGCUCAUGCUUUACCCAAAUCCAAUAUAAUUGUACAGUUAUAUUCUGUGUAGCUUCUGCAAAUGAUUAAUACUUCUGGUUUGUUGCAAGAUAGUGAAACUCGAUAAUCAUGUCAGUACCAGUUUGAAGUCGCUAGCUUUCCUGUGCAAUGUUCUGAUGGCUUCUGUUCCACAUGGCAUAGAACGUUCUGCCAAAACAUGAACUGGAUCUUUCCAAUACACUAACUGAAUCUUUUUAUGCAAUAUUCUGAGGAUUAUUUUCUUUCACAAGCAUAUAUUUUGUGGACCUUCUGUUUUGUGAUUUGGUUGUAUUUGACUAUAUAGAGAGGUGCUGCUAGUUGGGUGUUUUAUUUGGAGAAUUGUAUACGAAUUCUCUGUAUUGCCUAUUGGAAAGAUCCACUUCUUUUAUUGCCUCUUGGAAAGAUUUUUUAGUUAUCAUCUCUUGUGCACACAAAGUUUUCAUGUGGGUGCUCUGAGUUAUCUGUUACUGGCUGCUGGUGCUUGCAUGAAGCCUCCUGCAGACUAGUGUUAUGCUGCAGGACAGUAAUGCUACGUGGUGAUGCCAUGGCACUGAUGGUCAUUGGAUGAGUUAUUUCUUCAUAUAUGGGACAUCCUUGAAAGCCGGUCUCCAUGUUGGGUUGUUGGUGCACACUAUGCCUCCAGGAGACUAGCUUGGUUGUGAUUAUUCACAUUGAGCUCAUAACUGCAAUCAUGGAUUGUUGUGAUGAGUUAAGUUCUAGACAUGUAUAUGAUGUAUUUGUUACUUCACCGGCUGUUUUAUGAUGAACCAUUCUUGCUGCCGGGAAGGGCAUAUAAAGUGUUCCGAGCUGCGAGGAUGGCGCAUAGUGUUUAAUGAUGAUGGUGAUGAUCUAAUUGCUUGGAGCGAAGUUUUUCUGCCAUGAAGAGCUGCUGAUAUAGUUCAUACGCGUCUGGUGAUGUAUAAUAAUCUGUUUUAGCUUUUGUUGCAAGUUAAUAGUAGUGGAAAAGGUCAUUGGUUAAUUAUUAUCUCUUCAUCUUUUACAGUGAUUAUCUUGGUUUAUUAAUUGCCUGGUAGAAGGAACCAUUUUUCUGUCUGAUCUAAAUGUCUGAUCUAAAUUGGACACUCACUUUGUUUAAAUAUCUUCAUUUGGACACUCA
Brachypodium distachyon (stiff brome) is the source of this 3499-nucleotide long non-coding RNA. RefSeq lists it as uncharacterized. The record is from RefSeq and is a predicted model, not a curated record. The transcript is spliced from 2 exons. NCBI's taxonomy places the organism in Eukaryota, Viridiplantae, Streptophyta, Magnoliopsida, Poales, Poaceae.